RNAcentral lists this ribosomal RNA (253 nucleotides) under uncultured bacterium. RNAcentral describes it as "partial 16S ribosomal RNA". It matches the Rfam family "Bacterial small subunit ribosomal RNA", at positions 524 to 776 of the family's 1533-position model. The record is from RNAcentral.
UACGGGGGGGGCAAGCGUUGUUCGGAAUUACUGGGCGUAAAGCGCACGUAGGCGGCUUUGUAAGUUAGAGGUGAAAGCCCAGGGCUUAACCCUGGAAUUGCCUUUAAGACUGCAUCGCUAGAAUCGUGGAGAGGUGAGUGGAAUUCCGAGUGUAGAGGUGAAAUUCGUAGAUAUUCGGAAGAACACCAGUGGCGAAGGCGACUCACUGGACACGUAUUGACGCUGAGGCGCGAAAGCUAGGGGAGCAAACAGG